Long non-coding RNA from Bos taurus (domestic cattle), 917 nucleotides. Lineage: Eukaryota; Metazoa; Chordata; Mammalia; Artiodactyla; Bovidae. The record is from Ensembl.
CGUCGUUCAAAGCUAAACUCACCGUGUCACUUUCAAGCCUGUUUCUUCUUAAACCCCAAGCCUGUGGGAUUCGGGAUUAGACAGCAGUUGGUUCCAAAUUAGGAAUGUGACCACUUGUGCCAGGGUUCUUAGAAGCACUUCCUCAUCCCUAAGAGUGGUCUUCUUUCUCUGGAUACUGGCGUGUUUGGAUUGUGAUGCCAAGGUUUUUUGCUAUCAUCUGUCUCUUGCCCAAGGAGGAAGCUGUUCUCUGAAGGAUGAGAGAGUAAAGAUUGGAGGAGCCUUGGAUCCUUCAUGACCUUGUUGUGCAACAGCAUCUAUCAACCUUGCCCUCCCUAUGAACUUCCUUGUUAUAUGAUAUAAUAAAUUUCCCAAUUGUUUCAGUAUUAGUCACAGUGUGAAUGGGUUUUAUUAUUAGCAGCUAAAACAUUCUGUUCACCAAGUGCCACUUGGUAACACUGAUUUUCCACAAAUGCUGGUAAAAUGCUCACUUCAACUCAUCCCACAUUCUCCAGCAUAGUUAGAGAAUGCUCUGGAGAAUAUACAUGGGUCCAGAUUUUUUAGAAACUCUCCAGGUACGCAGACCUCAGUCUUGUCAGGGUUAGUCUAUGUCAAAAACUUCUAUUCUCUUCCUUUCAGCCAAGUACUCCAUUGACCUUCAUUGCAGACUCAAGCCAGGUUUGAGAAUGUAAUUCUUUCUUAACUGAAAGCAUAUAAGAGUUACCAGGAGUCAAGAUGCCAUGAGCUAUUUGUCCCUGUAUCUAUUAUUGAGGUGCCCAAAAAGUUUGUUUGGGUUUUUCUGUAAACUGUAACAAACUCGAAUGAACUUUUUGACCAACCCAAUAUUUAAAGUCUGCUUAAGUUCCAGACUCUUUUUGACUAGUCUGCUGAUUGGGUUUCCGACUUCAUGCUGUCUUUCU